CAUGUCACAUCCGGCAAAACGUAAAGUUUUAUUUAUUUGUGAAUAGUUUGGUGCAGAGUUUGUUAUUGUUAUGGGCCUCAUGUUUGGAUGAAGAAACAGCCUAAUAAAGAUCAAACCUAAUCUUAAUCACUUAAAUGGUUCCUGUUAUGGGUUCUUCAUGUUGAAUCCCUUAUUAAUUCAAUCAACCAAUGUAGACUUUUAUGCGAGAUUUUCUUCAGCUAGGCGGUGUAUCAGCGAGUAUACAAAGGAACCUUGAUAGUCUAUGUUUUCCUUCUUCGCCUUCACAGUCAUACAUCGCAGCUCCUUUUACCGAUUGAGAAACUCGAGUUGCUGUUAUAGCUGAGAAGUUGGGGUUUCUUCAGUUGGUUCAAAGUAUAUGGCUGCUUCAAUCUCAACAAGACUAAUCAUUCUGAAUCUCGAUAUUUUAGAAGUGAUCAUAAUACACCAGACAUAAGAAACUGCAACCGUGAGAUGUCCAGGGGAAGUAGAGAAGCCAAUCUGAACAUCUUUUCCAACAACUGGUGUUCGUGAUGUGGAGACAUCACAUGUCACAUGAUACCUUACUGCUUCAGCCUUCUCUAAUUUCUGCUAGGAAACGUUUUAGAAACACUGGCACCAAGAACAAGUGACUGGUCGUUGAUAGCGUAGAUGUUUAAGAACCGAGACAAACUUGGGAGGAAGCACAUAAACUGCUGCAG
Long non-coding RNA from Raphanus sativus (radish), 698 nucleotides. RefSeq lists it as uncharacterized. The record is from RefSeq and is a predicted model, not a curated record. Lineage: Eukaryota; Viridiplantae; Streptophyta; Magnoliopsida; Brassicales; Brassicaceae. The transcript has 4 exons.